CAUCACCUCUAGCAUAUCAAGUAUUAGAGGCACUGCCUGCCCAGUGACUAACGUUAAACGGCCGCGGUAUCCUGACCGUGCAAAGGUAGCAUAAUCAUUUGUUCCUUAAUUAGGGACUGGAAUGAACGGCUUGACGAGGGUUUAACUGUCUCUUAUUUCUAAUCAGUGAAAUUGACCUCCCCGUGAAGAGGCGGGGAUGACAAAAUAAGACGAGAAGACCCUAUGGAGCUUUAAUUUACUAGUUUAAUUCCAACAAUAAAUAACCUAUUGGCUCAACACACAAAAAUGUAAACUAGUAAUUUCGGUUGGGGUGACCUCGGAGCAUAAAAAAACCUCCGAAUGAUUUUAACUAAGACAUACAAGUCCAAGUAACCACAUAUCUUAUUGACCCAAAACUUUUUGAUCAACGGACCAAGUUACCCUAGGGAUAACAGCGCAAUCCUAUUCAAGAGUCCAUAUCGACAAUUAGGGUUUACGACCUCGAUGUUGGAUCAGGACAUCCCAAUGGUGCAGAAGCUAUUAAUGGUUCGUUUGUUCAACGAUUAAAGUCCUACGUGAUCA
Molecule: ribosomal RNA, 561 nt
Filed under: Neotoma mexicana (Mexican woodrat)
Lineage: Eukaryota; Metazoa; Chordata; Mammalia; Rodentia; Cricetidae
Description: partial 16S ribosomal RNA
Rfam family: Bacterial large subunit ribosomal RNA
Source: RNAcentral